This 420-nucleotide ribosomal RNA is filed under the name uncultured bacterium. Its description in RNAcentral is "bacterial SSU rRNA". It matches the Rfam family "Bacterial small subunit ribosomal RNA", at positions 299 to 716 of the family's 1533-position model. The record is from RNAcentral.
GAAGGUCCCCCACAUUGGAACUGAGACACGGUCCAAACUCCUACGGGAGGCAGCAGUGAGGAAUAUUGGUCAAUGGGCGAGAGCCUGAACCAGCCAAGUAGCGUGCAGGACGACGGCCCUAUGGGUUGUAAACUGCUUUUAUAAGGGAAUAGAGUGAGUCUCGUGAGACUUUUUGCAUGUACCUUAUGAAUAAGGACCGGCUAAUUCCGUGCCAGCAGCCGCGGUAAUACGGAAGGUCCGGGCGUUAUCCGGAUUUAUUGGGUUUAAAGGGAGCGUAGGCCGGAGAUUAAGCGUGUUGUGAAAUGUAGACGCUCAACGUCUGCACUGCAGCGCGAACUGGUUUCCUUGAGUACGCACAACGUAGGCGGAAUUCGUGGUGUAGCGGUGAAAUGCUUAGAUAUCACGAAGAACUCCGAUUGA